AGAGUUUGAUCAUGGCUCAGAAUCAACGCUGGCGGCGCGCUUAACACAUGCAAGUCGAACGAGAAAGGGGAGCAAUCCCUGAGUAAAGUGGCGUACGGGUGAGUAACACGUGGGUAAUCUACCUCCGGGUGGGGAAUAACUCUGGGAAACCGGAGCUAAUACCGCAUAAUGCUGGAAGGCCAAAGGCGCAAGUCGCCUGGAGAGGAGCCCGCGGCUGAUUAGCUAGUUGGUAGGGUAACGGCCUACCAAGGCGACGAUCGGUAGCCGGCCUGAGAGGGCACACGGCCACACUGGCACUGAAACACGGGCCAGACUCCUACGGGAGGCAGCAGUGGGGAAUCUUGCACAAUGGGGGCAACCCUGAUGCAGCGACGCCGCGUGAGCGAUGAAGCCCUUCGGGGUGUAAAGCUCUUUCGGCCAGAACGAUCAUGACGGUACUGGAAGAAGAAGCUGCGGCUAACUACGUGCCAGCCGCCGCGGUAAUAC
RNAcentral lists this ribosomal RNA (486 nucleotides) under uncultured bacterium. Its description in RNAcentral is "bacterial SSU rRNA". It matches the Rfam family "Bacterial small subunit ribosomal RNA", at positions 8 to 526 of the family's 1533-position model. The record is from RNAcentral.